UCCUUCUUUUUUUAUUUGAUGGUCUUAUAAAAUAUUUUGGAACGUUGAGGUUACAUAGCUACCAAAGCAGGUAACCAGUAAAUAAUAGUGUAAAAAUUGGGUUGUUUACUUCCGGUGAUGAUUAUUUUCUUAUAUGCAAUGAAAUGUUGUGUGAAAUUUUCACUGUAUCACUGGAAAGGAUUAAACUUUACACAUGCAAAGUAUUUCUUUGGUUGAAAUAAAGUGUUCACAUGUUCUGAAGAGCAUUCUGUUGAAAAAUCUUAUAUGUGAAUUGGUCUGCGGAUGACACUUCAGCAUUAAAACAAAAGAUAUCAAGUUUUAAUGAAAAAGGAAGGAAGAAGGAA
Long non-coding RNA from Mytilus trossulus (common blue mussel), 344 nucleotides. RefSeq lists it as uncharacterized. The record is from RefSeq and is a predicted model, not a curated record. NCBI's taxonomy places the organism in Eukaryota, Metazoa, Mollusca, Bivalvia, Mytilida, Mytilidae. The transcript is spliced from 3 exons.